UACGUAGGGUGCAAGCGUUAAUCGGAAUUACUGGGCGUAAAGCGUGCGCAGGCGGUUUUGUAAGUCUGUCGUGAAAGCCCCGGGCUCAACCUGGGAAUUGCGAUGGAGACUGCAAGGCUUGAAUCUGGCAGAGGGGGGUAGAAUUCCACGUGUAGCAGUGAAAUGCGUAGAGAUGUGGAGGAACACCGAUGGCGAAGGCAGCCCCCUGGGUCAAGAUUGACGCUCAGGCACGAAAGCGUGGGGAGCAAACAGG
RNAcentral lists this ribosomal RNA (253 nucleotides) under uncultured bacterium. RNAcentral's name for it is "partial 16S ribosomal RNA". It matches the Rfam family "Bacterial small subunit ribosomal RNA", at positions 524 to 776 of the family's 1533-position model. The record is from RNAcentral.